CCUACGGGGCGCACCAGUAGGGAAUCUUCGGCAAUGGACGAAAGUCUGACCGAGCAACGCCGCGUGAGUGAAGAAGGUUUUCGGAUCGUAAAACUCUGUUGUUAGAGAAGAACAAGGACGUUAGUAACUGAACGUCCCCUGACGGUAUCUAACCAGAAAGCCACGGCUAACUACGUGCCAGCAGCCGCGGUAAUACGUAGGUGGCAAGCGUUGUCCGGAUUUAUUGGGCGUAAAGCGAGCGCAGGCGGUUUCUUAAGUCUGAUGUGAAAGCCCCCGGCUCAACCGGGGAGGGUCAUUGGAAACUGGGAGACUUGAGCGCAGAAGAGGAGAGUGGAAUUCCAUGUGUAGCGGUGAAAUGCGUAGAUAUAUGGAGGAACACCAGUGGCGAAGGCGGCUCUCUGGUCUGUAACUGACGCUGAUGUGCGAAAGCGUGGGGAUCAAACAGGAUUAGAUACCCGGGUAGUC
Molecule: ribosomal RNA, 465 nt
Filed under: uncultured bacterium
Lineage: Bacteria
Description: bacterial SSU rRNA
Rfam family: Bacterial small subunit ribosomal RNA
Source: RNAcentral